This 4353-nucleotide transfer RNA is filed under the name Salmo salar (Atlantic salmon). Its description in RNAcentral is "lncRNA (ENSSSAG00000117404.1)". The stretch from base 2783 to 2836 matches the Rfam family "UnaL2 LINE 3' element". Lineage: Eukaryota; Metazoa; Chordata; Actinopteri; Salmoniformes; Salmonidae. The record is from RNAcentral.
GUUGGGAUGGGGCAGAAUAGGGAGGGAGGCAGGGCUGGGGUAUAGAUAUAGGACUGAAGCUGAGGUUUAGAGCGGAAGUUGGGGUAUAUAGGGCUGAAGCUGGGUUUUAGAACUGAAGCUGGGUGUAGGGCUGAGGCUGGGGUAUAGGGCUGAAGCUGGGGUAUAGGGCUGAAGCUGGGGUAUAGGGCUGAAGCUGGGGUAUAGGGCUGAAGCUGGGGUAUAUAGGGCUGAGGCUGGGAUAUAGGCCUGAAGCUGGGGUUUAUAGGGCUUAAGCUGGGGUAUAGGGCUGAAGCUGGGGUAUAGGGCUGAAGCUGGGGUAUAGGGCUGAAGCUGGAUUUUAGAGCUGAAGCUGGGUUAUAGGGCUAAAGCUGGGUUUUAGAGCUGAAGCUGGUAUAUAGGGCUGAAGCUGGGAUAUAUAGGGCUGAAGCUGGGCGGGAGAGGGGAGGGGAGGAGAGGCAGGCUCUAUAUAUGCUUGCUAGCGGCUAAGCUAAAUGUACAGCUUACUAUUGUCAGCCACUAGCAGCUCCAGAGUCAACACAGUGGAGUAUAGAGGCCAUUAUAUCAGCAACAACAGAGCUAAUAACAUUGUAAUAGUAGUCCUCAUCACAGUAGACAGUAGCUAGAUUUUAGUUGAUUGUUGAUCCCAAAACACUGUGCCGUUCCUUGUUGUAGAUUUAACCAAUAAGGCACGAGGGGGUGUGGUAAAUGGCCAAUAUACGAUGGCUAAGUGCUGUUCUUACGCAAGACGCAACGCGGAGUGUCUGGGUACAGCCCUUAGCCGUGGUAUAUUAGCCAUAUAGCACAAACCCCAGAGGAACCAUAUUACUAUUAUAAACUAGUUACCAAUGUAAUUAGAGCAGGAAAAAUACAUGUUUUUUCAUACCCGUGGUAUACGUUGUGAUAUACCAAGGCUUUCAGCCAAUCAGCAUUCAGGGCUCGAACCACUCAGUUUCUAAUUAAGCAAUAAUGCACGACGGGGUGUGGUAUAUGGACAAUAUACAACGGCUAAGGGCUGUUCUUAAGUACGACGCAUCACGGUUAUAGUGGUUAUAGUGGUCCUGGUUGUAGUGGUCCUGGUUAUAGUGGUUUUAUAGUGGUCCUGAUGUAGCGGCUUUAUAGGGGUCCUGGUUAUAGCGGUUUUAUAGGGGUCCUUGUUGUAGUGGUUUUAUAGUGGUCCUGGUUGUAAUGGUUUUAUAGUGGUCCUGGUUGUAGUGGUUGUUGUGAUUGUAGUGAUCCUGGUUGUAGGGGUUGUAGUGGUCCUGGUUGUAGUGGUCCUGGUUGUAGUGGUUUUAUAGUGGUCCUGGUUAUAGUGGUUUUAUAGGGGUCCUGGUUGUAGCGGUUUUAUAGUGGUCCUGGUUGUAGUGGUUUUAUAGGGGUCCUGGUUGUAGUGGUCCUUGUUGUAUUGGUCCUGUUGUAAUGAUGCUGGUUGUAGCUGUCCUGGUUAUAGUGGUCCUGGUUGUAGUGGUCAUAGUGGUCCUGUUGUAGUGGUCCUGGUUGUAGUGGUCCUGGUUGUAGUGGUUAUAGUGGUCCUGGUUGUAGUGGUCCUGGUUGUAGUGGUUAUAGUGGUCCUGGUUAUAGUGGUCCUGGUUGUAGUGGCCCUGGCUGCAGAGUGGUCCUGGUUGUAGUGGUUGUAAUGGUCCUGGUUGUAGUGGUCCUGGUUGUAGUGGUCCGAGUUGUAUUGGUCCUGGUUCUUGUGGUCCUGGUUGUAGUGGUCCGAGUUGUAGUGGUUCGAGUUGUAUUGGUCCUGUUCUAGUGGUCCUGGUUGUAGUGGUUUCAUAGUGGUACUGGUUGUAGUGGUCUUGGUUGUAGUGGCUGUAGUGGUACUGGUUGUAGUGGUCUUGGUUGUAGUGGCUGUAGUGGUCCUGGUUGCAGUGGUUGUUGUGGUCCUGGUUGCAGUGGUCCUGGUUGUAAUGAUCCUGGUUGUAGUGAUUGUAGUGGUCCCGGUUGUAGUGGUUGUAGUUGUCCCGGUUGUAGUGGUCGUAGUGGUCCUGGUUGUAGUGGUCCUGGUUGUAGUGGUUGUAGUGGUCCCGGUUGUAGUGGUCGUAGUGGUCCUGGUUGUAGUGGUUGUAGUGAUUGUAGUGAUCCUGGUUGUAGUGGUCGUAGUGGUCCUGGUUGUAGUGGUUGUAGUGAUUGUAGUGGUUGUAGUGAUUGUAGUGGUCCUGGUUGUAGUGGUCCUAGUGGUCCUGGUUGUAGUGGUCCUGGUUGUAGUGGUUGUAGUGGUCCCGGUUGUAGUGGUCCUGGUUGUAGUGGUUGUAGUGAUUGUAGUGAUCCUGGUUGUAGUGGUUGUAGUGGUUGUAGUGAUUGUAGUGAUUGUAGUGGUCCUGGUUGCAGUGGUUGUUGUGGGCAUAGAAAUAGAAUUCAUCAUUCAAGUUACCGAUGGCAUAAUGGGUGGAGUCAUUGCAAAUGUACCCAUGAGUUUAAAUCUAAUUGCCAGGGUUAGAGGUUUCAAGCCCUUCCUAUGGAGUCUAUUUCCACAGUUGGAGGUCUGUAGCUGGGCUACGGAGAGAUCUAGCCUUACGGCAUGGUGGAAGGAACUCUUCCAUUUACAUAAGAGGCUCUGUAAUGGGAUUGUGGAGGUAGGAGCUAGUCGUUUGGCUUUUGGCCCAGUAGCCUGUAGUAACUGGACUAUACUUCUCAAUCAUUCAGCAGAUUAACCUGGGACAGUAUAUAGUAUAGGGUCCCGUGUGGCUCAGUUGGUAGAGCAUGGUGUUUGCAACGCCAGGGUUGUGGGUUCGAUUCCCACAGGGGGACCAGUAUGGAAAAAAUGUAUGAAAUGUAUGCAUUCACUCACUACUGUAAGUCGCUCUGGAUAAGAGUGUCUGCUAAAUGACUAAAAUGUAAAUGUAUAAAUGCAUUAAAAUACUCCCAAACUUUAGGAUGAGAGGCUGGAUUUAUAUCAGAAAUAAACGUGACCUUUUUCCAAAACACAUUUUGGUAGCAGUAGUGAAGUACGGAGGAAUUUUACUUAGAAAUCAUUUUGAUUUAUAAAUAACGUUGAAAUAAAAUAAUAAUACAAUAAUUUCUUUAUGAAAAUUCUGUACAAAUCUGUUAUGGAGUGUACACUUCAAAUGUAGCUGCACAAAAAAACUAUUUUGUGUUCAAUUAUUUAAUGGCUUGUUCUUAUUAAAUCAUGUAUUGGUCAGAAAGAAGGUUACAGCAGUUAAGGGUUUAUUUGUUUGAACUGUGAGAGAUUCUAAACACAUUGACCCAGCGUCGUCUAGGAAGGUGACGGGCUACAAAUCACAUAGAAUGAUAGCAGUGAGAAACUCUUCUUUCUCUCUCUCUCUCUCCAUUACAAACACUAUGCAUGCAUCCCUAAUGGUACCCUAAUCCCUAUUUAGUGCCCAUAGGGUCCUGGUCAAAAGUAGUGCAUUACAAAAGGGAAUAGGGUGUCAUUUGGGAUACAUUCCGAACAUAUCCCAAGGGAGGCCCCAUUCUGGCUUCGUUCAGCGCAGCUAUUGUAAAGUGAUGGUCUCUCCCAGGUUAACAGUACAGGGACUGGGUGAAUGAGUGAGAGUCUCUCCCAGGUUAACAGUACAGGGGCAGGUUAACAGUGCAGGAACAGCAUUACAUUUCACCCAGGCUUUCAACAACAUUAUAUUUCACCCAGGCUUUCAACAGCAUUAUAUUUCACCCAGGCUUUCAACAAUAUUAUAUUUCACCCAGGCUUUCAACAACAUUAUAUUUCACCCAGGCUUUCAACAGCAUUACAUUUCACCCAGGCUUUCAACAACAUUAUAUUUCACCCAGGCUUUCAACAACAUUAUAUUUCACCCAGGCUUUCAACAACAUUAUAUUUCACCCAGGCUUUCAGCAGCAUUAUAUUUCACCCAGGCUUUCAACAACAACAUAUUUCACCCAGGUUUUCAACAGCAUUAUAUUUCGUCCUGAUUCAUACAAUUUCACGCUAUAGCUCAACUGUUGUUUUAGCAGAGUUCUUUUAAAAGUUAUUUCAAUAAAAAAAAAAAUGUUAAAAAAUGUGUUGGCCAAUAGGGGGCGAUAGCAUCGUAUAUAACACAAUGUAUUAUGGGUACAUGAUCACGAUAGUACAGCGGCUGAUGUCUCCCAACCCUACUAGUAUCAGUACUACAAUACCCCAUGUCAGGAGAUGAGCCGCAGGUCUGCAGUGUUUCUGUAAACAGGCUGAGUCUUCACCCUGGCAAUAUGACUGGGAGCUUGAGGUAAAUAAGCCCCCCCCCACACACACACACACUGUACAACCCCCCUCCCACACACACACAAACACACACACACACACUGUACAACCCCCCCCCACACACACACACACACACACACACUGUACAACCCCCCUCCCACACACACACACACACACACACACACACACACACACAC